GAGUCACCGUGAGUUCCCAUAAAACACUUCAUACGGCACUGUUUCAAGGGGCGUUGUGAAGUGUUUGGAGGAACUCUUGGUAUCAU
This 86-nucleotide microRNA precursor is filed under the name Leersia perrieri. Its description in RNAcentral is "pre miRNA mir-395". It matches the Rfam family "mir-395 microRNA precursor family". From Rfam's summary of the family: mir-395 was identified in both Arabidopsis thaliana and Oryza sativa computationally and was later experimentally verified. mir-395 is thought to target mRNAs coding for ATP sulphurylases. The mature sequence is excised from the 3' arm of the hairpin. Lineage: Eukaryota; Viridiplantae; Streptophyta; Magnoliopsida; Poales; Poaceae. The record is from Rfam by way of RNAcentral.